GACGAACGCUGGCGGCGUGCUUAACACAUGCAAGUCGAACGGAAAGGCUCCAGCUUGCUGGAGUACUCGAGUGGCGAACGGGUGAGUAACACGUGGGUGAUCUGCCCUGCACUUCGGGAUAAGCCUGGGAAACUGGGUCUAAUACCGGAUAGGACCGCACUUUGGUGUGUGUGGUGGAAAGGUUUUUCUGGUGUGGGAUGAGCUCGCGGCCUAUCAGUUUGUUGGUGGGGUAAUGGCCUACCAAGACGGCGACGGGUAGCCGGCCUGGGAGGGUGGACGGUCACAUUGGGACUGAGAUACGGCCCAGACGCCUACGGGAGGCAGCAGUGGGGAAUAUUGCACAAUGGGGGAAACCCUGAUGCAGCGACGCCGCGUGGGGGAUGAAGGCCUUCGGGUUGUAAACUCCUUUCGCUAGGGACGAAGCUUUUUGUGACGGUACCUGGAGAAGAAGCACCGGCUAACUACGUG
Molecule: ribosomal RNA, 468 nt
Filed under: uncultured bacterium
Lineage: Bacteria
Description: partial 16S ribosomal RNA
Rfam family: Bacterial small subunit ribosomal RNA
Source: RNAcentral